GUCAGUGUAGCAUUGUGGUUUUAGUGCUGGACUGCGACUCUGGAGCCCAGGUUCGAAUCCCUGUUUUGUCA
Molecule: non-coding RNA, 71 nt
Organism: Phrynosoma platyrhinos (Desert horned lizard)
Lineage: Eukaryota; Metazoa; Chordata; Lepidosauria; Squamata; Phrynosomatidae
Source: the annotation of a GenBank genome assembly